CCUACGGGUGGCAGCAGUGGGGGAUAUUGCACAAUGGGGGGAACCCUGAUGCAGCGACGCCGCGUGGGUGAAGAAGCGCCUCGGCGCGUAAAGCCCUGUCAGCAGGGAAGAAAAUGACGGUACCUGAAGAAGAAGCCCCGGCGAACUACGCGCCAGCAGCCGCGGUAAUACGUAGGGGGGAAGCGGUGUCCGGAUUUAUUGGGGGGAAAGGGGGCGCAGGCGGGGGUGCAAGGCAGGAGUGAAAACCCGGGGCCCAACCCCGGGACUGCACUUGAAACUGCGGGGCUGGAGUGCAGGAGGGGCAGACGGAAUUCCUAGGGUAGCGGUGAAAUGCGUAGAUAUCAGGAGGAACACCAGUGGCGAAGGCGGUCUGCUGGACAGCAACUGACGUUGAGGCGCGAAAGCGUGGGGAGCAAACAGGAUUAGAUACCCCAGUAGUC
Molecule: ribosomal RNA, 440 nt
Filed under: uncultured bacterium
Lineage: Bacteria
Description: partial 16S ribosomal RNA
Rfam family: Bacterial small subunit ribosomal RNA
Source: RNAcentral